CUGGAGUUUGCUCCAGCAGGUUAGCGGCGGACGGGUGAGUAACACGUGGGCAACCUGCCUGUAAGACUGGGAUAACUCCGGGAAACCGGAGCUAAUACCGGAUAGUAUCUUGAACCGCAUGGUUCAAGUUGGAAAGACGGUUUCGGCUGUCACUUACAGAUGGGCCCGCGGCGCAUUAGCUAGUUGGUGAGGUAAUGGCUCACCAAGGCAACGAUGCGUAGCCGACCUGAGAGGGUGAUCGGCCACACUGGGACUGAGACACGGCCCAGACUCCUACGGGAGGCAGCAGUAGGGAAUCUUCCGCAAUGGACGAAAGUCUGACGGAGCAACGCCGCGUGAGUGAUGAAGGUUUUCGGAUCGUAAAACUCUGUUGUUAGGGAAGAACAAGUGCGAGAGUAACUGCUCGCACCUUGACGGUACCUAACCAGAAAGCCACGGCUAACUACGUGCCAGCAGCCGCGGUAAUACGUAGGUGGCAAGCGUUGUC
Molecule: ribosomal RNA, 487 nt
Filed under: uncultured bacterium
Lineage: Bacteria
Description: bacterial SSU rRNA
Rfam family: Bacterial small subunit ribosomal RNA
Source: RNAcentral